UUGUGGGUAUAGUCCAUGACUUACAAAGUUACAAGUAUAAAUGUGUACCACUGGUAUGCCAACAUUGUACCAUCAAGUUGAUGAAUUUUCAAUCUGCAUGGAAAUUUCAAACUUGUUUGCUUAUGUUUGGUAGAUAAUCAUUAAAACAAAUUUGAAUUCUCAAUUUUGCUAUAUGAAGAAAUUCAGAGAAGGGAAUUUUACAUAGACAGACUUUUAGUUUAAUAGACUUUUGGUAGAGAAUUGAAAUUAAUAGCCAUGUUUUUCAAGCUUGUUAUAGUCAUAAUAGUAAGCCUAGCAGCAGCUGAAGAUCUCAAUUUCACCUACAAUGGUUUCCUGUCUGCUAAUCUUAGCCUAGAUGGCGUAGCCCAAGUCACAUCCAAUGGCCUUCUGAAGCUUACAAAUGACACUGGACUCGGCCAUGCCUUCUACCCCAACCCAGUAACCUUCAAGAACUCAUCCAAUGCUACCGCUUUCUCCUUCUCGACCACUUUUGUGUUCGCUAUCAGAUCCAGAUUCGGAACGCGUGUGGGUGGCAAUGGAAUGGCCUUUGUCAUUGCUCCGACAAGAGGGCUCCCCGGAGGUUUUAAAAACCAGUACCUGGGCCUUUUCAAUGAAACCAACAACGGCAACGCCAACAACCAUAUUUUUGCUGUAGAGCUUGACUCCUUCCAGAACCCCGAGCUUGGCGACAUCAACAACAACCAUGUUGGGAUUGAUAUCAAUGGUUUGCGCUCAGUGAACUCAACUCCAGCGGGAUAUCAUGCUCUAAACAAUGGCGGUUUCCGAAACUUGACCCUCAUCAGUGGUCAACCAAUGCAGGUUUGGGUGGAGGUCUUUGAAGUAUGACCUGUCCACGGUCCUUAACACGACCAUGUAUGUUGGCUUCUCCUCUACUGCUGGUGCACUCGUCACAUCUCAUUAUGUUCUAGGAUGGAGCUUUGAGAUGAAUGGCCAGGCUCUAGAACUUGUUCUCUCACAACUUCCUAAGCUGCCCCGGAUAGGACGUAAAAAAAUAUCUAAUUUUUUGACCGUUGGUGUGCCUGUGAUGUCUGUGAGUUUGGUUUUGCUAGCAAUUUCAAGUUUAAUUUAUGCCAUAAGAAGGAAGAAGAAGUUUGCAGAGCUGCUUGAAGAUUGGGAGCUUGAGUAUGGGCCUCAAAGGUUUAAAUACAAAGAGUUAUAUAUGGCAACAAAAGGGUUUAGGGAGAAGGAGCUUUUGGGAAGUGGGGGAUUUGGUAAGGUCUAUAAAGGCAUAUUACCUUCCUCCAAAACUGAGAUUGCAGUGAAGAGGGUCUCACAUGAAUCAAGACAGGGGAUGAAGGAGUUUGUUGCAGAAAUUAUUAGCAUUGGCAGACUUCGUCACCGAAAUUUAGUACCACUGUUGGGAUAUUGCAGAAGAAAAGGGGAGCUGCUCUUGGUCUAUGACUACAUGCCUAAUGGAAGCCUGGACAAAUACCUAUACGACCAACCAGCGGUCACUCUCAAUUGGAGCCAGAGGUUCAGAGUGAUCAAAGGUGUGGCUUCAGGGUUGUUCUAUCUUCAUGAAGAAUGGGAACAAGUUGUGGUUCACAGAGAUGUGAAGGCCAGUAACAUAUUACUAGAUUCAGAAUUUAAUGCAAGACUAGGAGAUUUUGGCCUUGCAAGAUUAUAUGACCACGGAAAGGACCCUAAGACUACUCGUGUAGUUGGAACACUUGGGUAUCUAGCUCCGGAGAAUGCAAGAUUAGGCAGGGCCACAACGCACACCGAUGUGUUUUCUUUUGGGGCAUUUUUGCUUGAAGUUGCCUGUGGAAGAAGGCCAAUACAGACACAAGGUCAAUAUCUGGAUGUGGUUCUGGUUGAUUUGGUGUUUUCUUGUUGGAAGAGAAGUAAUAUUCUUGAGGCAAUAGAUCUAAACUUGGGUUCAGAAUUCGUAGCUGAGGAGGUGGAAUUGGUGUUGAAGCUUGGGCUGUUGUGCUCUCAUUCAGAGCCCUCUGCUAGGCCAAGCAUGCGUCAAGUAGUGCAUUAUUUAGAGGGUGACAUUCCACUGCCGGAGUUGUCAUCUCUUGGUCUUUCUUCUGGUGGUGGCUUGAAGUUCGCACACCGCGAAGGUUUUGAUGAUUCGGCAAUGUCAUAUCCGUCUUCCAUGGGCAAGGAGUCAUAUGUUCCAGAGUCGGCACUUCCCUCAGGUGGUCGCUGAGGCCAAUCAAUUAAGAUUCUCACCCAAGUACGAGCCAUAGAACAUAUACAUGCAGCUUUGAAUGUUUCCUCUAGUUUAUUAGUUUGUAACUACUUACUUGUUACAAUAAAUCAAUGCUGCAUAUAAAAUAGGUGUUUUGUAUUA
Prunus avium (sweet cherry) is the source of this 2320-nucleotide non-coding RNA. The record is from RefSeq and is a predicted model, not a curated record. NCBI's taxonomy places the organism in Eukaryota, Viridiplantae, Streptophyta, Magnoliopsida, Rosales, Rosaceae.